Molecule: ribosomal RNA, 643 nt
Filed under: uncultured bacterium
Lineage: Bacteria
Description: bacterial SSU rRNA
Rfam family: Bacterial small subunit ribosomal RNA
Source: RNAcentral
CGCGGCCUAUCAGCUUGUUGGUGAGGUUAUGGCUUACCAAGGCGACGACGGGUAGCCGGCCUGAGAGGGUGUCCGGCCACACUGGGACUGAGAUACGGCCCAGACUCCUACGGGAGGCAGCAGUGGGGAAUAUUGCACAAUGGGCGCAAGCCUGAUGCAGCGACGCCGCGUGAGGGAUGACGGCCUUCGGGUUGUAAACCUCUUUCAGUAGGGAAGAAGCGAGAGUGACGGUACCUGCAGAAGAAGCGCCGGCUAACUACGUGCCAGCAGCCGCGGUAAUACGUAGGGCGCAAGCGCUAUCCGGAUUUAUUGGGCGUAAAGAGCUCGUAGGCGGUUUGUCGCGUCUAUCGUGAAAGUCCGAGGCUCAACCUCGGAUCUGCGGUGGGUACGGGCAGACUAGAGUGAUGUAGGGGAGACUGGAAUUCCUGGUGUAGCGGUGAAAUGCGCAGAUAUCAGGAGGAACACCGAUGGCGAAGGCAGGUCUCUGGGCAUUUACUGACGCUGAGGAGCGAAAGCAUGGGGAGCGAACAGGAUUAGAUACCCUGGUAGUCCAUGCCGUAAACGUUGGGCACUAGGUGUGGGGGACAUUCCACGUCUUCCGCGCCGUAGCUAACGCAUUAAGUGCCCCGCCUGGGGAGUACGG